AUAUUUCGGAACUGAAUCUGGUUCCUUCGAUAUCAAUGUAAUCUAAUAAUCAGUAGUGAUUUUUCUGUGUUGGUGUACAUUGAUAUCGAAGGAACUAGAUUCUGUUCCGAAAUAU
Paramuricea clavata is the source of this 115-nucleotide non-coding RNA. The record is from the annotation of a GenBank genome assembly. NCBI's taxonomy places the organism in Eukaryota, Metazoa, Cnidaria, Anthozoa, Malacalcyonacea, Plexauridae.